RNAcentral lists this unclassified non-coding RNA (832 nucleotides) under Hevea brasiliensis (rubber tree). Lineage: Eukaryota; Viridiplantae; Streptophyta; Magnoliopsida; Malpighiales; Euphorbiaceae. The record is from RNAcentral.
ACCAAUAAAUUUCAUUAUCUACAAUACUGUUUCUAAAUUAAGAUUGUUGUUGGAUUCUAUUGAUUUUAUCAUCACAAACUUGAAGUUGCUGUUUUAUAAGUUCUGACUUUUGAAAGAUUCAUAAAGCUUUACAUUAAUUAAAAGGAUAUAAUUGAAGGUGAUUGUUAUGAUCAUACUUAAUCACCAACACAUAAUUUAUUUAUUAGUUUCGAAGCCAAAGAAGUUGCCAUUCAUUUCUUGGUACAUUUUCUCUUCCGGUUUACUUGGGUUGAAAAAGCUAAUACAGUGCAGCUCUUGUCAAUUUUUUUCUCUGAUUCCUAAUUUUUGUGUAUAGAUCCCAUUUACUUCAUUUCCUUCUCACACUGGCUCAUACUUCUCUAAUUUCAAUAAUGUGAGAUAGUAUCCAUUGAUUAAAAUUGAACAUAAAAUCUUAAUAAUUAGCUAAAGGAUAGUAUUCUUUUGAAUUAUGCUUUUGUACGUUUUGUUUGUGUGUAGUACAUGCAUAUAUCCUUCUCUAGGAGGAAAUGUGUGCUAUAUAGUGGCAUACUCUCGGGCCUUGAACCUGGUUCACUCCUGUGUGGCAAUAGGUGGUUAAAAUCAAAGGAAAUUUUCAUAUAUUUUAUUUUCUUUUUGUAUUGACAAGCUGUUAGCAUGCCUUUAUUUUGACUUUAAUGUAAAUUUGCAAAUCUUUGACAGCAUAUAGUCAUUGAUUUAAACCUAAUAAUAUGUGUUGGCCAUAUCUAAUGUGCGCCAAUCAUCUUGUCUCUUUCUGACCGAUUUCAAGUUUGACAUGCUCUACUGAUUUUGUAGGGCAAGAAAUUUAAAGAUAAAG